This 446-nucleotide ribosomal RNA is filed under the name uncultured bacterium. RNAcentral describes it as "bacterial SSU rRNA". It matches the Rfam family "Bacterial small subunit ribosomal RNA", at positions 29 to 524 of the family's 1533-position model. The record is from RNAcentral.
AACGAACGCUGGCGGCAGGCCUAACACAUGCAAGUCGAGCGCCCAGCAAUGGGAGCGGCAGACGGGUGAGUAACGCGUGGGAACCUUCCUGAUAGUACGGAAUAGCCCAGGGAAACUUGGAGUAAUACCGUAUACGCCCGCAAGGGGAAGAUUUAUCGCUGUCAGAUGGGCCCGCGUAGGAUUAGCUAGUUGGUGAGGUAACGGCUCACCAAGGCGACGAUCCUUAGCUGGUUUGAGAGAAUGACCAGCCACACUGGGACUGAGACACGGCCCAGACUCCUACGGGAGGCAGCAGUGGGAAUCUUGGACAAUGGGCGCAAGCCUGAUCCAGCCAUGCCGCGUGAGUGACGAAGGUCUUCAGAUUGUAAAGCACUUUUGCCAGGGACGAUAAUGACGGUACCUGGAGAAUAAGCCCCGGCUAACUUCGUGCCAGCAGCCGCGGUAAU